CCAGGCGCAUGCUACACAUGCAGUCGAGCGGUAGCACAGAGAGCUUGCUCUCGGGUGACGAGCGGCGGACGGGUGAGUAAUGUCUGGGAAACUGCCUGAUGGAGGGGGAUAACUACUGGAAACGGUAGCUAAUACCGCAUAACGUCGCAAGACCAAAGUGGGGGACCUUCGGGCCUCAUGCCAUCAGAUGUGCCCAGAUGGGAUUAGCUAGUAGGUGGGGUAAUGGCUCACCUAGGCGACGAUCCCUAGCUGGUCUGAGAGGAUGACCAGCCACACUGGAACUGAGACACGGUCCAGACUCCUACGGGAGGCAGCAGUGGGGAAUAUUGCACAAUGGGCGCAAGCCUGAUGCAGCCAUGCCGCGUGUAUGAAGAAGGCCUUCGGGUUGUAAAGUACUUUCAGCGAGGAGGAAGGCGUUAAGGUUAAUAACCUUGGCGAUUGACGUUACUCGCAGAAGAAGCACCGGCUAACUCCGUGCCAGCAGCCGCGGUAAUACGGAGGGUGCAAGCGUUAAUCGGAAUUACUGGGCGUAAAGCGCACGCAGGCGGUCUGUCAAGUCGGAUGUGAAAUCCCCGGGCUCAACCUGGGAACUGCAUUCGAAACUGGCAGGCUAGAGUCUUGUAGAGGGGGGUAGAAUUCCAGGUGUAGCGGUGAAAUGCGUAGAGAUCUGGAGGAAUACCGGUGGCGAAGGCGGCCCCCUGGACAAAGACUGACGCUCAGGUGCGAAAGCGUGGGGAGCAAACAGGAUUAGAUACCCUGGUAGUCCACGCCGUAAACGAUGUCGACUUGGAGGUUGUGCCCUUGAGGCGUGGCUUCCGGAGCUAACGCGUUAAGUCGACCGCCUGGGGAGUACGGCCGCAAGGUUAAAACUCAAAUGAAUUGACGGGGGCCCGCACAAGCGGUGGAGCAUGUGGUUUAAUUCGAUGCAACGCGAAGAACCUUACCUACUCUUGACAUCCAGAGAACUUAGCAGAGAUGCUUUGGUGCCUUCUGGAACUCUGAGACAGUGCUGCAUGGCUGUCGUCAGCUCGUGUUGUGAAAUGUUGGGUUA
This 1051-nucleotide ribosomal RNA is filed under the name Klebsiella aerogenes. RNAcentral's name for it is "bacterial SSU rRNA". It matches the Rfam family "Bacterial small subunit ribosomal RNA", at positions 36 to 1082 of the family's 1533-position model. Lineage: Bacteria; Pseudomonadati; Pseudomonadota; Gammaproteobacteria; Enterobacterales; Enterobacteriaceae. The record is from RNAcentral.